Molecule: long non-coding RNA, 1203 nt
Organism: Nasonia vitripennis (jewel wasp)
Lineage: Eukaryota; Metazoa; Arthropoda; Insecta; Hymenoptera; Pteromalidae
Exons: 3
Source: RefSeq, a predicted model, not a curated record
AAGUUAUUUAUGAAAAUGUGCUUAUUUAGUUUUGGAAUUAAUGCAUUACAGCAUAAUAUAAUUACAUUAUGAUCAUAUUUCUAUAGCUAUUGGUUUUUCUAUACUAGCUGUGCAUUUCAAUACGUAUGCAAUACUCACAAAAGCAGUAAAAGCAUACUUGAUAUCAAGUAACCGAGUACAGUAAUGUGUGUUAUGCAAAGCAUUUUUACCCAAAGAGUUUUGAAGAAAAAUUAAGAAAUGGACAGCGCUGUGGUCAAGGCUUUGAAAAUACUGUCAGGAAAAUGAUGAAUUACAAUAAUAAUAGUAAUCGGCCCCACCGUUCAGACAACCCAACCAAAAGCUUAAGGUUCCAAUUAAUCAACGUAAGAGCUUGAGUUGUAUCCAAGCAGGAUGUAGUCAGUGGCAGCCUGACCAUUUACCAGAAAAUGAAGACGAGACAACUCAAGAAGAAAAAAGAGUAUGGUUAUUAUCUUAUAACUUAUACGAUCAAACUGAUCCUCCAAUGUUAGAAGUAAUCAAAGUAAAUUUUUGUAACUCAUACGUAACUCAAAGAUUGUUUUUAAAUGACAUCAGUAAAGAAAAACAUUUAUUACCUUAAGUUCGUGAGGUAUGGCCAUGUCUUACACAUAAACCAUUUAUUUUUUGGCAUUACGAAAAAUUGACUGGUCACACAAUAGACGAAAUUGCUGUUAAUAUUAAAGAUGACGUUCCCAGAAUUUUGUCUUAUGGGAUUAUGAAAAGAUUGACAGACAUAAAUUUCACCGAUACAAUUGAAGCAAACAUUUCAAAGAACAAUUGGAUACAUUGAUUAUUCGAUGUCCUGCAGGUACGGAGAGCUUCGAAACAGGUCAAAAUCCAGGUCCACAAUUAUGUAUCAUAGAUAACGAACCAACAGAAUAUAUCAUUAUAUUAAAUAAAGAUAUUAUUGAGUAUGCAAGUAACUACGUUGAAGCUCUGCAAUUUUUAAUUUCACUGUACUUUGUUUUUAACCGACCAUAUCCAGAUGCUCAUAACAUCUAUUAGAAUUUGUACAAAUGAAAUUUUGCAACAUUUUUUCCUCUGACGCAACAAGAUCUACAUCAAAAACAGUAACUAGCAAAGUACUUACUCUCUUCAACAAACUAAACAAAGUUGUUCUCGGAGACGUUGUUAAUGUAAAUUAGUACUUUACUUUUCGACGGUUCAUUUUUGUAAUUUCUAUAA